CAAAAUCCAAAUCGGCAAAUCUGAAAUCCAACUCCGUGGUGGCGCGUGGUCCCUCCUUGGCUCCUCCGGAGUCACUUCAUUCUUUUGUACCAUCAUUUUCUCUGUUUGACCAUCUACUACUAGUACGAAGCUUUUCCAAUUUUUCUUGGAGAGGUGAGUUUCCUUCCGCCAAGUUAUAUAACAAUUUUUCUUCAGUGCCCCAAAUAAAUUUGCUCAGUCUACUUUUCAGUAGCUCUUUAUUUUCAAUCUGAUUGGCCAUAAAUAAUGUCCUUUUGUGUUUUAGCAAAUUUACUAUAUAUUUUACUUUAUGGGUUUGACCAAAUAACAGAUUCUUUAGUAAUUAUAAAUUUAUAAUGGUUGUUAUAAUUGAAUUUCCUUAUAUGGGGGUUUGUGUUUAUAAAUUGAAUUGUUGGGUGUCAAAUUUUGGUCAAUUAUAAGAAGCUUUCUGAGGAAAAGAAGUCUUCUUUAUUGAUACAUGAAGAUGUUUGUUACUUUGUUUUAAUGGCUGAAGACGAAGUCUAAAGUAUUCUUGAUUGAUAAUUUGAUACACGAAGAUGUUUGUUUUAAUGUCUGAAUGGGGCUGAAUUUUUAUGCUGGAACCUCUGAGAUUAUUGGCUGUUGAUCAUUAACUAAUUACUUUACUAGUACAUAAUGAUAUUGAUAUAGCAAAAACUAAAAUAAUUACACUGAAGAGAUUAUUUGGAAUGUACAAUCAAUUGUAAUCUAACAUACAAAAAUAGAACUUCUGGCUUGCUGCAUACAAGGAUAAGAGUAAAACCCUUGCUUAUUUGAUUGUAAAUUUAUGUCGUUAAAAAAAUUCUUCCCAAUAUCAAAUCCUGAUUUCGUCCCUGCUCGUCACCUUUUUGGUUAUACUUGGCUUGUUCUCUUUACCUGGAUAUAUAGUCACUUAGCUCAAAGUCUGUCUUCUUAAUCAUAUCUAGACCACUUUGCCCUGCCAAUUAACUCUUCUAUCUGCAUGAACUUGGCCAGUUCUGAACUAGUUCAUGGGUGACGACUUUAAGCUUAAAAUUUAUUUGUUUUAAAGAAAAUAUAGUCAAAAGUACAGAAGACACAAUUAAUAGAUGAAAUUUUUAAUAACACCUGAGGCGUGUGUCGUUAAAAAAUUCGUUCAAAAUUUUAGUGUCUGGAUCAUAUUUUGCAUGUUUUAAUGAGGUGAUAAUACUUCUGGCCGAAAAAUGAUGGAAAGUGUGCAUUUAACAAAAAAAGAGAUCUGCUAAUUUCUUAAUUACCUUUUCAUUGAAAUGUAUGCAUUCAACAAAAUGUAGGACUAACUAAAAUGUCGCCAUGAUAAAUCAAUUGUAAACUUAAUUACUCGUGCUUUGCACGAAUUAUUUAACUCGUGUGUUAUUAAAUAAAACUUGAUUAUACACCCACACCCACACCCACACCCACACCCAUAUACAUGUGUGUUAAUUUUAUAUACGUAUGAACACGAAAAGUGGGAUAUUGGUCACCAAAACCACUUGUCUGUGGUGACCACCACCCAAUGACGUCGUUUUAAUUAUUAAAUUGAUGUAAAUAACUAAAUAUUAUUCAGUAAUAUAAUUAGUGUUAACAUAAAGAUUCUUCUACGCGCCUCAAUCAUAAAAAACGUGUCCAAUUCUGCACAUGAACAAAAUCACACGUAAAACUUGACGGCUUAGGCCGUCGGAAGAUAGCUUUGGUGUGAAAAUAAGUAUAGGCUGAAUAAGACUUAACAAUGGAGGUAUUUAGUACUGGAAAGUAUAAUGAAUUGUGUGUACCUGAGAAUAAAAGUUUAGUCUUGUAUUUAUAGUAAUCACACCUCAUUUACAUGCCCUUCUCCGUAUGGGAAUAUGAUUCCUCAUUAGAUCAGAUUCCUUAAUGGGAUCAAAUUGAAUCUCCUUAAAAAAGGAAGUCAGAUUCUAUCCUGACACUUUCCUUAUAAGCUAGGAAUCAAAUAUAAUUAGGAAUUUUAAAUUCCUUAAAGUUCUAUAAAUGCCCAAAUAGGUUCCUACGUGGGGAGACUUCCUCCACGUGGAUCAUAGCCUACCGAAUCAUUAGAGCCCAAAUAAUCAUUCCCCAACAUUGCCCCCCAAUCUCUCAUUAUAAUGGAAGAGUUCCUCAUUAAAAUCCUAAUAGUUAUAUAAUUAAUAAGAAUGCAGUAAACCCAACAUUAACUGCCUCGAUAACGUAUCCUACACUCAUUACUGGGUCCCUACAUCACUCCCAUGUUUGCCAUCAUUACAGCCGCAUUCAGAUUACUGAGAGAAGUUGAAAAGUUAAAUCAUUUCAAAAGCCAUAUCCCCUAAAAACAACUGCCACUUUUUCAGAUCUCAACUUCAAAAGCAACUAAGAGCUCUCUCUACAACAUUUUAUUUCUCUCUGCAAAUCCUUACAUCCGACAAAAUUACCACUGAUUCUCCCAUGACUACCCCAAACCUCCCAAGUUUUGAUGUCCCAAUGACCAACAUUGUAAACACCACCGUCUCUACGACUGUAUCAAUUUCAUCCACCACCGGUACUGUCGUUUCCACUGACUCUACCAUAAUUAAUUACCACCACUGCCUCCACUGCCCCCAAGCUCCAGUCCUCUCUCAAGCUGAGCUUGAUAUACAAAAAAUGAUUAAAGAAUACUCAAAUGAAGAAGUUUUUUCCCACAUUAACAUUGAAUUGUCCAUCACUGCCGAAGACCUUGCGGAAAUACCAGAACUAUAUCGUAUUACGGCAACCUACGACCUUUGAGCCGUUCUCCCAACCGAACAGAUGUAUUACCGACCCAAUGGGUGGACCCCUAUCGCCCUCACCCCCUCAAGAACGGGUUUCACCUCCCCCUCCACUCCUUCAUUAUCACCCUUUUAGGAUUCAUCGAAGUCAGUCUAACCCAAAUGGUGUCGAACUCCUACAUCUACAUCGUCUCGUUCAUUGCCCUCUGCCACGAACUAGGCGUUUCCCCCACCAUCGACCUCUUUUUCUCAUUAUUCUCGAUGAGCCGAUCCAAGAAAUCCGGAUUUCGACAAAUAAACAAACAACAAAGUAAAGUGAUUGAGAAGCAGUUUCUGAUGAAGACAAACAAAAGAUGGCAUUCUCAGUGGUUCUUCAUCCGGGGCCCUGAUACCCAUCAAAUUCCUGACUGGGUCGAAGCCUCCAAACCGAACGUUGCCACCAAGGAGUUAUCGUGGAGUCGACUCGAAGAAAUAGUGAAGACCAUCGAAAGAAUACCAACAGAAGAAUGGAAACCCGAACUCAUGAAUAGCCAGGCUUGGUUGUAUAACCAUAAAUGUAAAUCCCGAACCAAUCAAUUAAAUCGUAGUGUUUUAAAUUCCCUUUACUCAGUUUCUUACUUCUCGUAGUUGAAAGUAGUAUGUACGUAAGCCAGUCAUUUUUGAUAUGAUGUUGCAUAUACUUUGUAAUCUUUUUCGUUUAUUAAUAAAAGAAUUAAUUUAUUAAAAGACAUUUUACUUUAUCUACAUGGUGUUAUUAUAUUAAAUGUGAUAAACUCAUAGUUAUGAGCAAUGCUUUUAGAAUCAUGAUGAUGAUCAUGCUAAUGAGAUCUAAAUUCUAGAUAGCUCAUAAAUUAAAAUUGCUCCUAAUCGUUGGAUUACUAAAAAAGGGAUUAGUGAAUCCGGAUAAAUUGGUACAUACGUUGUUUGCUCUUAGGAAGAGGAUGAUUGAUCUCAUAAUCAUUUGGAUGAAUACACUAAAACAAUUGAAAUCAACUAUUCCAGAUUGUUAAAUCAACCAUUAGUUCAAUUUCACUUGAUGCUUUACUUAGAACGACACACUUCCUUUUAAUUCAAAUCAACUAUUCCAGAUUGUUAAUCAAGAACACGACAGUAGAUAUAACCAUCUCUCAAUGCAUUAUACACAUAUCAACUUAAAUCCACAAUUGAUAGAAUUAAGUAAAACACCCUAAUUAACUAAUCCACUAUAUUUGUGAAUUACAAUUAAAGAAGAUUUAAUCACAAGUUAUGAAACUACGUGUGAUGCGUAGGUAUAUUUCUAUCCUAAGCAUAAAUUAUGAGUCCCAUCAUCAUGCAGAAAUCACAAUCACACGCUACUAUGAUUAGGUCUAAACCCAUAUUCCAUCUCUAGAAUUUCAUAUGGGUUUUCAAGUAAUUGGUGAUCAAGCAAUUCAUUAAUUCAUUAAUUAAGCAUAAACCAUAGUAGACAAAUCAGAAAAUAGUCUCACUGAAUUAAUAUAGAAGCAUGUCAAUCUUCGUUACACAGAAAGAUCCAUUGUAGACUUAAAGAGUAAAUUAGUUCAUGAUAGAUGAAUAAGAAACUGAAAUCUACAAAGAUACUAGCAUUCUGAAUACAAAGAUAAUAAUAAAGAAAAAGAAUAGAAACUGUAAGAUCAACUGCUGCUCUUCUUCAAUCUCUUUUGCGUUCUUCGUGCUAAAACUCUGUUUCAAUCCUCCACCAAAAACGUGAUAAACAAAACUGGUUGUGUGUAUGAUCAUCAAUUGACACACCCUUAAUGUCCUCUAUUCCCCUGUAUUAACCUUCUCUGUCUUUCCAAAACGCGUCUCGAAUCCUCGCACAAAAAUCUCCAGAAUCAUAAUAGAAGAAGGAAAAUUUAAGUUGUUUGCCGCGUAUCUCUCCCAGGCUCACAUUUCCUCUAUGAAAUCUCGCCCUGGCGCACAUGUGCCCCGGCGAACAUUUACAAGGUAAAAUCUGCGCCCUGGCGCAGUUGUCUAAUUUGGGUCGACUUUUCUACUUUUGUACUGAUAGUCCUGUUCUCGCCCGCACAACCUGUCCCUGCACAUAAACAAUGAAAACAAAUAAAAAUGUUCCUAAAAGUACUCGAAGUAGCAAAGACUUGGGUUUGAAAAGUAAUAGAUUCACAGUUAUGAAACCCACUCAUCAGCGAGUGUUCUCCGGACAUGGUUCAAAGAAUCCUUUAUCUGUUGCAAUAUAGUGGUCCGAUCCGUAUUAGGUGGGGUGAACACCUUGUUGACCCUUUGGUUUGGGAAGGGUGCACGGUCUCCUCUCGAACCCCCGUUAUUAUAAUCCUUCUUUUAAUUAUCUGUUUUGCCAUUAUUGUCUGAUUGGGGAUUGUUGUUCUUGUCCCGAUCUCUCGGCUUCUCCACGAUGUUUGGUUUCAGACUGCCCAUUGCCUCUUCAAUCGCGAUGAACUCCUCGGCUAUGUCGUAGACCUUUGACAAAUCCUUCAAGAUGUUGAACAUCAAGUUCUUCACUAAUUUCCGAGACCUCACCACGUCUAGUCUGGAUCGGAAAUACCCGAGGGCUAGAUGCCCAUCUAAUUGCCUCACAUGUCCGACCCCUUCACGGAAUCUCUUCACGCACUGGCUAAGGGACUCAUCGAAAUACUACCGGAUUUAAACUAGAGAACCGAUAGUUUUCCCCUCCUUUUAUUGCUCCCGAAGUGGCUAUGGAACUGGUAACAUAGUUCCUUCCAUGAUGAGAUUGAGUUCAGCUUCAGCGAUGUCAUCCAAUGUCGAGUCUCCUUCCUCAAAGUUGUAAUAAAUAUUUGACAUUUGGAGGCGUCAGAAUAGUCAUAAUAUCUCAUCAGCAGGUCAUACACCUGCCUAUUCUCAUAUGGAUCUCCCGUUCCAUUAUAACUUUCCAUGUGUGGGGCCUUUAUAUGCGGAUCGUCCCGAACCCGAUCUAUCUCUGGAGAGAACGUUGAUGUUGGGUUAAUCUGUACCAAGGUUUCAAACAUAAGGGAAAUAGUAUUUUUAUCUGAAUACCUUCGGAGUCUCCUUCUGAUUGGGAACCGCUAGUCUCUUCUCCAGUUCUGCCAACCUCCGAACAAGUGCCUCGGUUUCGUUUUUCCCAGGGAUGACUCACCUAUCCCGGUCUCUGGAUUUUAGAGAGGCUUCUCGCUUUCUCUGUUUUGUCCUUCCUCUACUUCCAUUGUUUUCUUCCCAAGAGCGACUCAUACGCCUGCUUCUUUCCUGGUUCUUUGCCUGCUCCUCUCCUGAGAGGGGCUUUAGGACUUGCUCUUGUCCUGUCGAGAACUGUCCGAACAAUGUGUCCUGGAUCGAUUCUUGGGCGACGCCUCCCUACGUCGAUCACAUGUAGAAGACACCUCCUCUCCGUUCAGCAAUGCCAACUGUGCAUCCAACUCCUUUCGCUGAAUACGUACGGAGGGCUUCGGCGGCCUCCUCAUUCUCCCGAACCUUUUUGGCCAAUAUCAACAUCCUCCUCGACGCGACCCCCAUGUCUUUUCUCCUUCCUUGUUGUCGAGAACAACCGACGUUUGACUUCAGCCGCCUGAGUAUUCUUUCAACCCACUGAUUGAUUGCGGGGUCCGAGUCUGUCCAAGAUUUCUUUGGAUAGGCCCAAUCUGUCCUUGACCGAACCCUUGGGCUGAGCAGAUGGGUCGGCUGUUGAUUUUCCAUGUCCAGAAACCGUCUUACUUAUUGCCAUUACUCCUAAACAAAUUGUUUUGUGAUUGAAGAACUCCUAGCACUUAAACUGCCCUCCUUCUAGCGCCAAUGUUAACGUUAAGAUUCUUCCACGAGUCUCAAUCACCAAAGGUGCGUUCAAUCCUGCACAAGAACAAAAUUACUUGUGAAGCUUAACGACUUGGGCCGCCGGAGGAUAGCUCCAGUGUGAGAAUAAGUACAAAUUGAACAAGAUUUAACAAUGAAUGUAUUUAGUGCUAGAAAGUAAUAAUGUAUUGUGUGUACUUGAGAACCGAAGUUUAGCCUUGUAUUUAUAGUAAUCACACAUCCUCUACAUGUCCUUCUCCGUAUGCAAAUAGGAUUCCUCAUUAGGUCAGAUUUUUUAAUGGGAUCGAACUGAAUCUCUUUAAAGGAAGGAAGUAGGUAGGAGUGAGCAAAAAACGGAUAAAACCGAAUUACCGAACCGAACCGAAUUAUUUUAACCGAAUUAUUUCGGUUUUUCGUUUUUUUUUAAUUUCGGUUAUAUCCGAAUUAUUACUCGCUAUUCGGUUUCGGUUUUCAUGAAACAGGUUAUUCGGAUACCCGAAUAACCGAACUUUAAUACUUAAAAAAAUUAAUUUUAUAAUAUUAUCUAAUAUAACUAUCAGUGUAACAACCUAACAGGUUAUUUUCUCCCAUUUUGCUUUGCCCUAGUCUGCUCGACCGCUCCUACUUUCCCAGUCCCAGAGGCCAGAUCUCGAAUCUCGAUUCCUCAGGACCUCAGCUCUUGCAGUCUUGCAUCUCGAGUCUCGACUGUCCCUGUCUCAAUCUCCGGCGCGGCUCCGCCUCUCUGUCUGUCUCGCGACUCUCGCUGACUCGCUGUUGGUAUGUUCUCGACUUCCUCCCUCUUUUAGUCUACUGUCAACCUGUAAAUUUCCUUUUGCCCGUGAUUUGGAUUUUGGGGGGAAGUGAUCAUUAAGUGAAAUUUCUUUUAGAGUUCUGUUGAGAAUCUUUAUUUACUGGUUUUGGGCCUUUUGGCAUAGAUGUAGUAGUAGUAUUGCUGCAUGUGUACUAUAUAUAAAAUUGUUUGUUUAGAAUUUAUCAAUCAUCAAUUUUUUGGAUAAUGGAAUCAAGUAGUUGUUGGUUGGUGAGAAUGUAUUGUCCCCUGCUUUUGUAUAUCAAUAUUCAGCUCCUCCCCUUUGUUGGUUUCAUUUAAACUUCUCGGCCAAUAACAAAUUGCAGUCUUAGUUCUCCUAUUUUUCUAUCUUAUCACCCCUCUUUCUCUAUUCAAACCUGCAUAAAAAAAUUUACUGGUCAAUCACAAAUAAAGCAUAGCUGUAGUAGUAGUAUUGCUGCAUGUGUAGUAUAUAUAAAAUUGUUUGUUUAUAAUUUUCAUAUGCCAGAUUGUAUUUUAAGAUUCUCUCUGUGAUGCAAGAGAUGAUUAGGAAGGAGGUGAGAAAUUAUUUGUAUGAAUCAUGUUUAGAGAAAUUAUUUUUAGAGAAUCAUGUUUUAAGAAAUUUUUACUAGGCAUUUUAUUUGCAUACUAGUGUUUCCAUCUCACACCCAUAAUUAAAAAACACUGCAAACUGAAUUGAAUAUUACAGUUGAUACUUGAUAGUAUCUUAAUAUUCAAUAACUUAUCUUCAAAAAGGAGAUCAUGACAUACCAUAGUAUUAAUGAUAGUAAAUAAGCUUCAUUAUCUUCAAAGUUACAUUUUCUUAAACCUUUAGUAAUAGUACAGUAAUAACUUAAUGAAGACAACUUGUAGUGGUCACCAAAUUGUUCAAGCUAUAGCUAUGAUUGGAUGGUGUACUAAAUUACGGCAUGUUCUCAGGUUGAGGUGUCUAACUUUGCGUAUAAGACUGAAAAACUUUUGUAACUGUAGAGAGUUUGAGCAUGUAGUCUAGCUAGUAGACUUGUUUUUUCUAAUUGCAUGCACAGUUUUAAGCAUUUUUAUGUCAUUGUGAUCAAGGAUGGAUGUAUACCUUUUGUUUCAAAAUUACACAUGCUGAUAGUUAAUAGUGAUUGACAAAUAAUUUGAACGCUUGAUUCACUUGCUUAAUUCUAUUAAAAGUACAAUCCAAGUAAAAGAACAAAACAAUCAAAAAUCCUAAGAGAGAAAGAAAGUACUUAAGAAAAAUGAGCAGGAGAGGGGAGACUUACUUAUAUGAAGGACAUGAUCUUGUGGUGCAGGUUCAGGUUCAUGUUGCUGUUGCUGACUUGCUGUUGGCUGUUGCUGACUUGCUGUUGAGUGUUGCAGUUGCAGUUGCUUGUUGCUGUUGGCUGCUAGCUGCUGCCUGCAACUCUACUAGUAGAAUAAAUUCAUGUUGGCUUGUUGGCUUGUUGGCUUGUUGCUAGCUGCUUUGUUAAGUCAUAACUUUGUCAAGGGUCUUAAGGACAGUUAAUUUGUUCGCUUGUUGCUGCUGUAUUUUUAAACUUUAUGUUGGAUGUUGCUGUUAAGUUGCUUUGCUGCUGGACAGUUAAUUUGUUCGCUUGUUGCUGCUGUAUUUUUAAACUUUAUGUUGGAUGUUGCUGUUAAGUUGCUUUGCUGCUGGACAGUUAAUUUGUGUUGGACAGUUAAGUUAACAAUUAAUUUGCUGCACAGUUUUAAACAUAUACUUUAUGUUGGAUGUUGGUUCGAUUAUUACCCGAAUACCCGAAAUUAUAAUUCGGUAAUUCGGUAUUCGGUAAUUCGGUUAUUUUUAAAUUUCGGUUAGUAUUUCGGAUAUUAGAAUUACCAAUAAUUUGGUUUUCAGUUAUAACCGAAU
This 9100-nucleotide long non-coding RNA is filed under the name Panax ginseng (ginseng). RNAcentral's name for it is "long non-coding RNA (PGIN_LNC003939)". Lineage: Eukaryota; Viridiplantae; Streptophyta; Magnoliopsida; Apiales; Araliaceae. The record is from RNAcentral.